Drosophila sechellia is the source of this 1091-nucleotide long non-coding RNA. RefSeq lists it as uncharacterized. The record is from RefSeq and is a predicted model, not a curated record. NCBI's taxonomy places the organism in Eukaryota, Metazoa, Arthropoda, Insecta, Diptera, Drosophilidae. The transcript has 2 exons.
GUUUUUAUUCUAGGAAGCGACGUCGUUUGAUAUUCAAUUCCGCUUCGAUGCAUCUCCGAUAUUAUUAGCUUGAAAGGUUUUGGCCCUUAAAUUUAAUGGCCGAAAUCGGUGAAAAAGUAAUGAAGCCAUGGCGAAUGUCAUGGCGUGAUACCAAAGUAUGAAUUCUCUAGUAAAAUUUAGGUUACAAAAGCGAAUAUUCGUAUUGAAAAAUAGGGAAUCGUGUACAUUAACUGUGACACCACGGAUAAAAACGCGUUUAUCGGGAUGGCCUUAAAUUUGAAGUUGGCGCCCAUGUAGUGCGCAAGCAGGGUGCAAGCAGUGCCAAAGCAGGCGAAGCAGUGAACCGGUUAGAAACGGGUAACACGCACUCAAGCAGGACUUUAAUUUGUAAAGUCCCCUUUUUAUUGGUCACAAACUAUAAAAAACCACUGAAGCUUAAGUCAUUCCCAUCGCAUACGACACCAUGUGACUCCACUGCCAGCUACCUUAAUAUGCCCUCGAGCACCUCAAUAGCCUGUCAAUUGGUCAACUAGCGACACUUUCAGUGCCUAAUAAAUUAAUUACGCGCUUUAAUUGAUGCCUGCAGUCGCUGCUUUUGGCGUGCGAACAAGAUAGCCGGCCAGUCAGUCAGGAGGAUAAGUCACCUGGGCUUGGUCAGGUGUUGGUGCAACAACAGAGUCAUUAGCCGGCGCUGGGCGGAAUGGGGCUCCUCCUCCUCCAGCUCCUGCUCCGCUGGCAUCUUCCUCUUUCAGUCGCCGAACUAUGUGACAUUUUUCAAAUGUUCCCGCCGGCGGAACAAAGGAAGAGUACGGUUACAACUGGCUUUGUGCGUUCCCUGGACUAGACUCCCCGUAUCCUCCUCCUCAAGGAACGUGCUGCAAUGCCGACGCGUCAGCGUUGGAGUCAAUUGCAACGCCAAUCGAAGUUGCAACUACACUCGUAACAAAUUAAUCCGGAAAUUUGCUUUAAUAUACAUCUUGGAGUUAAGGUCGGAGCUAAGGUGAUAUUCAAAACUAUUUAAAAAUAAAAAGGAACAUGAAUUGAGCACUUGUGACAUUAAUAGUAUUAUAUUAAAUAUUCAUUCACUGCAA